RNAcentral lists this ribosomal RNA (440 nucleotides) under uncultured bacterium. RNAcentral describes it as "partial 16S ribosomal RNA". It matches the Rfam family "Bacterial small subunit ribosomal RNA", at positions 338 to 795 of the family's 1533-position model. The record is from RNAcentral.
CCUACGGGUGGCAGCAGUAGGGAAUAUUGCUCAAUGGGGGAAACCCUGAAGCAGCAACGCCGCGUGAAGGAUGAAGGCUUUCGGAUUGUAAACUCCUUUUUGUAGAGAAGAUAAUGACGGUAUCUGACGAAUAAGCACCGGCUAACUCCGUGCCAGCAGCCGCGGUAAUACGGAGGGUGCAAGCGUUACCCGGAUUCACUGGGCGUAAAGAGAGCGUAGGCGGGAUAGCAAGUCAGAUGUGAAAUGCUUGGGCUUAACCCUAGAACUGCAUUUGAAACUGUUAGUCUAGAGUAUAGGAGAGGUAGGUGGAAUUCGUGGUGUAGGGGUAAAAUGCGUAGAGAUCAAGAGGAACACUGAUUGCGAAGGCGGCUUACUGGACUGUAACUGACGCUGAGGCGCGAAAGCGUGGGGAGCAAACAGGAUUAGAUACCCCUGUAGUC